Molecule: ribosomal RNA, 202 nt
Filed under: Klebsiella pneumoniae
Lineage: Bacteria; Pseudomonadati; Pseudomonadota; Gammaproteobacteria; Enterobacterales; Enterobacteriaceae
Description: partial 23S ribosomal RNA
Rfam family: Bacterial large subunit ribosomal RNA
Source: RNAcentral
GGGUUGUGAGGUUAAGCGACUAAGCGUACACGGUGGAUGCCCUGGCAGUCAGAGGCGAUGAAGGACGUGCUAAUCUGCGAAAAGCGUCGGUAAGGUGAUAUGAACCGUUAUAACCGGCGAUGUCCGAAUGGGGAAACCCAGUGUGAUUCGUCACACUAUCGUUAACUGAAUACAUAGGUUAACGAGGCGAACCGGGGGAACU